Molecule: unclassified non-coding RNA, 273 nt
Filed under: Hevea brasiliensis (rubber tree)
Lineage: Eukaryota; Viridiplantae; Streptophyta; Magnoliopsida; Malpighiales; Euphorbiaceae
Source: RNAcentral
CGGAAAAAGCAACAGGGUUUUAUAUUCCGUUUUACGCCGGACUUGAUAUUGGGAAGUUUUUAUGGUUUAAUUAUACGGCGAAAGAUCGAGAUCGGAAAAGUGAAAUGGUUCUCGAUUGGCUUAAAGAGCAGCCGACUUUCACUAGAGCUAACGGAGUAGAUCACUUCAUUAUGCUUGGUCGAUUAACUUGGGAUUUCAGACGAUUAACUGCGAACGAUUCAGAAUGGGGAUCGAGUUUGCUCUACAUGCCAUCGAUGAAGAAUGUGUUCCGUG